GCGGGAGUAGUCUAGUGGUUAUGAUGUCUGCUUUACAUUCUAAACAAAUGUAUUGCGCAGAAGGUCGAGGGUUCAAUUCCCUCCUUCCGUA
Molecule: transfer RNA, 91 nt
Filed under: Corynespora cassiicola Philippines
Lineage: Eukaryota; Fungi; Ascomycota; Dothideomycetes; Pleosporales; Corynesporascaceae
Rfam family: tRNA
About the family: Transfer RNA (tRNA) molecules are approximately 80 nucleotides in length.
Source: Rfam by way of RNAcentral